Molecule: ribosomal RNA, 306 nt
Filed under: Triticum aestivum (bread wheat)
Lineage: Eukaryota; Viridiplantae; Streptophyta; Magnoliopsida; Poales; Poaceae
Description: partial small subunit ribosomal RNA
Source: RNAcentral
AUGGAAUUUAAUGCAGCCGAUCAGAAGGUAAGAAGCACCUAUGAAUCUGGAUCAGCGGAAACUGGUGGGGGAACGCUCCGUCCUUAUUUGCUUCACUGUUUUGUUCUUGUGUUUUACCAGGUUCCUUUGGUCGACCAUUUGGACAAAAGUCAACCGUCCAUGCAUCUGCUGGCUAUCGGGAUAGUGGUGUCUUUCCGGCUCAGGGCAGCAGAAGAACUACCGGUGGAAUUCGUGAGGAACAGGCAGGCGUGGAUGGAAGACGGGAGAGCUUGCCCCAGUUAUCUGAGCUGUCGACCGGCAAAUUGA